UUGUAAAGGCCAUGGCAGAUUAGGGUUUCAUGAUGCCAUCGUCUAUCCAAAAAAGCAUGAAAUACGUUUUAUUUGUUGGAAAGGAACGAAAAUAAUGACACUACGUGAGUAUGUAUCAUGGGCUCCAUUUUUUUUUUUUUUGCUUUGACUGACAUAAUUAGAUUCUCGAUCGUAUGGCAAUUGAUUUACACAUUUUUUCUUCUUCUAUAAAGCUACAAAAGUAACUGACCCCAUUGCUUAGAUUUAUACAAGUCAGAUCUCAAUUGCCCAAAAAGCUUACUGAUCAGUUUUGU
Molecule: long non-coding RNA, 293 nt
Filed under: Capsella rubella
Lineage: Eukaryota; Viridiplantae; Streptophyta; Magnoliopsida; Brassicales; Brassicaceae
Description: long non-coding RNA (CRUB_LNC004451)
Source: RNAcentral